Molecule: ribosomal RNA, 253 nt
Filed under: uncultured bacterium
Lineage: Bacteria
Description: partial 16S ribosomal RNA
Rfam family: Bacterial small subunit ribosomal RNA
Source: RNAcentral
UACAGAGGGGGCAAGCGUUAUUCGGAAUUAUUGGGCGUAAAGGGCGCGUAGGCGGCCUGGCAAGUGACGGGUGAAAGCCCUCGGCUCAACCGAGGAACUGCCUGUCAUACUGCCGGGCUUGAGUCCGGGAGAGGUGAGUGGAAUUCCCAGUGUAGCGGUGAAAUGCGUAGAUAUUGGGAGGAACACCUGCGGCGAAGGCGGGUUGCUGGGCUGACACUGACGCUGAUGCGCGAAAGCCAGGGGAGCGAACGGG